AGAUAAUAGAUACCCCAGGUAGUCCACGCCGUAAACGAUGCACACUAGCUAUCAGAAAGUAUCGACCCUUCUUGUAGCGAAGCUAACGCGUUAAGUGUGCCGCCUGGGAAGUACGGUCGCAAGACUAAAACUCAAAGGAAUUGACGGGGGAUCGCACAAGCGGUGGAGCAUGGGGUUUAAUUCGACGAUAACCGGAGAACCUUACCAGGGUUUGACAUCUACCGAAAGUCCUGGAAACAGGACCGUGCCCGCAAGGGAACGGUAAGACAGGUGUUGCACGGCUGUCGUCAGCUCGUGGCGUGAGCUGUACCCUUAAGUGGGUAAACGAGCGAAACCCUCGUCGUCUGUUGGAUUUUUCAGACGAGACUGCCGGCUUUUAGCUGGAGGAAGGUGGGGAUGACGCCAAGUCAGCGUGGCCCUUACACCCUGGGCUACACCCGUGCUACAAUGGCAUCGACAAAGGGUUGCAAAAUCGUAAGAUGGAGCUAAUCCACCAAAAGAUGCCUCAGUUUGGAUUGGAGGCUGCAACUCG
RNAcentral lists this ribosomal RNA (532 nucleotides) under uncultured bacterium. RNAcentral's name for it is "bacterial SSU rRNA". It matches the Rfam family "Bacterial small subunit ribosomal RNA", at positions 775 to 1314 of the family's 1533-position model. The record is from RNAcentral.